AGUAAUGUCUCGGAAACUGCCUGAUGGAGGGGGAUAACUACUGGAAACGGUAGCUAAUACCGUAUAACGUCUUCGGGCCAAAGGGGGGGACCUUCGGGCCUCACACCAUCGGAUGUGCCCAGAUGGGAUUAGCUAGUAGGUGGGGUAAUGGCUCACCUAGGCGACGAUCCCUAGCUGGUCUGAGAGGAUGACCAGCCACACUGGAACUGAGACACGGUCCAGACUCCUACGGGAGGCAGCAGUGGGGAAUAUUGCACAAUGGGCGCAAGCCUGAUGCAGCCAUGCCGGGUGUAUGAAGAAGGCCUUCGGGUUGUAAAGUACUUUCAGCGGGGAGGAAGGCGAUAAGGGUAAUAACCUUGUCGAUUGACGUUACCCGCAGAAGAAGCACCGGCUAACUCCGUGCCACAGCCGCGGUAAUACGGAGGGUGCAAGCGUUAUCGGAAUUACUGG
This 450-nucleotide ribosomal RNA is filed under the name uncultured Erwinia sp. RNAcentral describes it as "bacterial SSU rRNA". It matches the Rfam family "Bacterial small subunit ribosomal RNA", at positions 109 to 557 of the family's 1533-position model. The record is from RNAcentral. Lineage: Bacteria; Pseudomonadati; Pseudomonadota; Gammaproteobacteria; Enterobacterales; Erwiniaceae.